This 2026-nucleotide long non-coding RNA is filed under the name Medicago truncatula (barrel medic). RNAcentral describes it as "long non-coding RNA (MTRU_LNC006746)". Lineage: Eukaryota; Viridiplantae; Streptophyta; Magnoliopsida; Fabales; Fabaceae. The record is from RNAcentral.
UAGGUAUUGCUUAUUAGUAUCCUACUAGUAACUAUUAGAGUAUGAAUAAUCAACUAUAGUUAGUUGAUAGGUAAACUAGAGUUAGUAGCUUGGUUAGAAGUUAGUUAGAGUUAGUUACUCAAACUAAUCUCUAUAUAUAGGAACACUAUUGUACUCAUUCACUAUCUUUUGUUAAAUCUAGUUUACUCUCCUAUAAGUCACUAUGGGUAUCUCCCACAUGAAUACACCUAUGCUCUCUUUCUAGUUGAUCACUAUGAUCUUUAUCCUUGGGAUUCCUUGAUUACUAACAUGGUAUCAGAGCGAUACCCUAGGGAUGAAGAUGAUGAUGCUUCCGCUUCCGCUUCCGAUUCAGUACUCGAUGAAGAUGACGAUUCUGUUAGUGAUGAAGUUCUUGCGGUUUCUGCACCAAUUCUUGAAACUUCAGCCUCUCACGAUUGCAUCUUUUUCGGCAGUUUUGAUUCUCCAAUUGUUCCGGUUUCUACUCCUUCAAUCGAACCAAAAUUUGAUGGAUUCUCCGUCAAAAUUGGUGAGAUUUCAUGCGUAUUCGUUGAUUCUUGCAAGAACAUCGUCAAUUUUGACGAUUCUGUGUUCAUCGCUUCCGAAGAAAACGGUUACGUGAAGGUUCUUGAACCAGAAUUGAAGAUUCGCAACUCUGUUUACGGUUUCUCUGAAGCUUCGGAACAUUUCAUCACACACGCAACUCCGGUGAGAUUGAGGAAUACUGUUUACGGCGUCGCCGCUGCGAGACCUUCCGCCUUGUGGUUGCUCGUCGGAAAACAGGCUGAACCAAUUGCUUCUGAUGUCGACGACAAGAUUCGGUCCUUUCAGUUACAUGACGAAUUCAUUGUUGAUUUUGAUCCCGGUGGAAGCGUUUUCUCGUGUUCGUUGUUCUCCGUUCUCACUGUCCUCCGACGAAUCCAUUUUCGCUUGUGGUGGAUACCUUGGGAUAGAGGAAAGAAAGGUUUGUGUUCGUUCGAUUCAACACACGCCAUUGCAGAAGCUUGAGUUUUUGGUUACUUUCAGCAAAUUGAUUCAAAUUCUUGUGAGAAGAAAAGCACAGGAACGCAGUAUCGCGUUUUGUUAAAAGCGGAUUCUAGAAGAUGUUUUUUGCAAAAGCUAUAUUGGUUCAGAUGUAAUUUUUUGUCAUGUUUUGCACAUUCUUGAUUCAACAUCGCUUUCCAGCAUCAGUUUUCAGAAUCUUGUUCUAAGCAGAAACAGGAAAAGCACUUUUGGUAUAAGUUGUUUCUGGUUCAGUUGUGUGAUUCAAUUAGCUGUGUUUGACACAUCACGUUUCACAUAAUCAUUUUUUUUUUUUUGGAGAAGCUGGUUUUGUGGAAAAGCUGGUUUGGUAAAAUGAGUUUGGAAAAGCCGUUUUGAAUAAGAUACUUUUGGUUCAGUGGCGUUUCGAAUAAGCUGGUUUACAGUUUCGCAGAAUCACGUUUUCAUGUUUGAUUAUCAGAAUCAGUAAGCUAUUUUGGUUGAAGAGCGUUCCUGAAACUACAAAGAAGGAUGAAUGUGUUGUGUUGUGCUACUGUGUUCAAUUCAGAUUUCUCUUAUGGGCUUCCUCUACAUCAUUGAACUCAAUCAUGGGCCUUCACAUACUUUCAACACAGUGUUGUCACUAGUUUUCAUCUCCUGUUUUUACUUAGCUUACAAUAUAAGGAAUAACUUGUAUUUUCAUUGUAUUUCAAACUCAAAUUGGUGAGUUUUCCCACUUUGAGUUUGAGGGGGACUAUUAGAGUAUGAAUAAUCAACUAUAGUUAGUUGAUAGGUAAACUAGAGUUAGUAGCUUGGUUAGAAGUUAGUUAGAGUUAGUUACUCAAACUAAUCUCUAUAUAUAGGAACACUAUUGUACUCAUUCACUAUCUUUUGUUAAAUCUAGUUUACUCUCCUAUGAGUCACUAUGGGUAUCUCCCACAUGAAUACACCUAUGCUCUCUUUCUAGCUGAUCACUAUGAUCUUUAUCCUUGGGAUUCCUUGAUUACUAACAGUAAACAAAAAAAAUCAUAUAGGGUUUAAAGUGUCA